RNAcentral lists this ribosomal RNA (253 nucleotides) under uncultured bacterium. RNAcentral's name for it is "partial 16S ribosomal RNA". It matches the Rfam family "Bacterial small subunit ribosomal RNA", at positions 524 to 776 of the family's 1533-position model. The record is from RNAcentral.
UACGUAGGGUGCAAGCGUUGUCCGGAAUUAUUGGGCGUAAAGAGCUUGUAGGCGGUUUGUCGCGUCUGCUGUGAAAUUUCGGGGCUCAACCCCGAACUUGCAGUGGGUACGGGCAGACUAGAGUGUGGUAGGGGAGACUGGAAUUCCUGGUGUAGCGGUGAAAUGCGCAGAUAUCAGGAGGAACACCAGCGGCGAAGGCGCUGCUCUGGGCCGGUACUGACGCUGAGGAGCGAAAGCGUGGGGAGCGAACAGG